RNAcentral lists this long non-coding RNA (304 nucleotides) under Mytilus galloprovincialis (Mediterranean mussel). Lineage: Eukaryota; Metazoa; Mollusca; Bivalvia; Mytilida; Mytilidae. The record is from RNAcentral.
CAAUUAUCGUGCAUUAUUUUUAACACCUACAUAAAAUGUAAUUUCAUGCACAAUUUAAAAUUAUGUAAAACGUUAUUAUUUACUAUAAAAACGUCAAAUUUGACAUAAUGAUGCUGAUUACUAGAUGAAAAAACUGAUGAAAACGACUUUAAUGUCAAUUGUUUCACCUCAAAGAUCAAAAGACUACAAAAAAAACUCCGUCGCCUGCAAUAUAUGUUCUACUGUUAAUGUGCACGCAUGACCUCCAGACGCUGUUAAUGUGCACGCAUGACCUCCAGACGCUUCAUCACAUGCAUAUGCACCA